This 491-nucleotide ribosomal RNA is filed under the name uncultured bacterium. RNAcentral describes it as "bacterial SSU rRNA". It matches the Rfam family "Bacterial small subunit ribosomal RNA", at positions 15 to 507 of the family's 1533-position model. The record is from RNAcentral.
GAUCAUGGCUCAGAAUGAACGCUGGCGGCGUGGAUUAGGCAUGCAAGUCGAACGCGAAAGUUCCCUUCGGGGAGCGAGUAGAGUGGCGAAAGGGUGAGUAAUGCUUGGAUGACCUGCCCUCGAGACGGGGACAACAGUUCGAAAGGACUGCUAAUACCCGAUAGUCCGGUUUAGAUGCGUCUAGAUCGGUAAAUGGUGCUUCCGCUCGAGGAGGGGUUCAAGUCCUAUCAGCUUGUUGGUGGGGUAACGGCCUACCAAGGCUACGACGGGUAGCUGGUCUGAGAGGAUGAUCAGCCACACUGGCACUGAGAUACGGGCCAGACUCCUACGGGAGGCAGCAGUGAGGAAUAUUGCGCAAUGGGCGAAAGCCUGACGCAGCGACGCCGCGUGGGGGAUGAAGGUUUUCGGAUUGUAAACCCCUUUCAUGAGGAAAGAUAAAGUGGGUAACCACUUAGACGGUACCUCAAGAAGAAGCCACGGCUAACUUCGUG